UGAGGAAUAUUGGUCAAUGGGCGGGAGCCUGAACCAGCCAAGUCGCGUGAGGGAAGACGGUCUUACGGAUUGUAAACCUCUUUUGCCGGGGAGCAAAGGGCGCCACGCGUGGCGUUUCGAGAGUACCCGGAGAAAAGCAUCGGCUAACUCCGUGCCAGCAGCCGCGGUAAUACGGAGGACGCGAGCGUUAUCCGGAUUUAUUGGGUUUAAAGGGUGCGUAGGCGGGCCGGUAAGUCAGCGGUAAAAUUAGCGGGGCUCAACCCCGUCGAGCCGUUGAAACUGCCGGUCUUGAGUGGGCGAGAAGUGCGCGGAAUGCGUGGUGUAGCGGUGAAAUGCAUGAUAUCACGCAGAACCCCGAUUGCGAAGGAAGCGCACCCGGCGCCCUACUGACGCUGAAGCACGAAAGCGUGGGGAUCGAACAGGAUUAGAUACC
Molecule: ribosomal RNA, 433 nt
Filed under: uncultured bacterium
Lineage: Bacteria
Description: bacterial SSU rRNA
Rfam family: Bacterial small subunit ribosomal RNA
Source: RNAcentral